AGAGAUUUGAUGUGAUGAUUGAGGUAGAAGGCAUGGAUUGUUUGGGGCUUCUCUGAAAUAAGCUUCUCUAAUGCAGGAAAACAACAUGAAUGAGCUUAAGAGAUUUAAUGAAGAGAUGAAUACAGUCGAAGCCUGGGAUUUUUAUACACAGAGAUGGUGCAUAAAUAAGCAAAACAAAAAAAUGCGCCAAUGCUUUGCCAGAAUUUCGUUGGUCCUCUCAAAAUUGUGGGGAAACCAAGAUUGAAUUUAGAGAUGUUUCAUAUGCUUGGCCGUUGACACACCUCUCUUCAAGGCAAGGUCAUUUCCAAGGUGAUUACAGCGCUAGGACCUGCCCCUGAUAAGAACCAGGGCACCCGUUUAAACAGAAUGAUGACUGUGUGAGGCUUAAAAUAUCGCCAUCAUAGCAGGGGUGAUGCUGUCACUUCCAUGGUCCACCAGAAUGAAGAUCGCACUCAGUGCUGCAAGGGGGCUUGCCUUCCUGCACGAAGCUGAGAAGCCAGUUGUCUACAUGGAUUCAAGACAUCCAACAUAUUGCUCGACGAGGUACACAAACCGCGUUUAAUCGCUUCGAUGUGUACUUCCAUUCGCAUAAAUUCAGGACUCCUUAUACACAAAAAAAUAUUAGAAUGGUUCACAUAAAUGGUUCAAUAAACAGAAUGAGCACCUAUAAUUUUUCAUGAGGCUGAUUUCAAGUUCUCAAUUUGUUUGACAUGGAUUGUUUGGGGCUUCUCUGAAAUAAGCUUAUCUAAUGCAGGAAAACAACAUGAAUGAGAUUAAGAGAUUUAAUGAAGAGAUAUGACAGGAUUAGGCGGAGAUGAUGAAAGGCUUUGUAAAAGUCAGAUAAUUGGUUGAACUGCU
This is a non-coding RNA of Aegilops tauschii subsp. strangulata, 858 nucleotides long. The record is from RefSeq and is a predicted model, not a curated record. NCBI's taxonomy places the organism in Eukaryota, Viridiplantae, Streptophyta, Magnoliopsida, Poales, Poaceae.